Molecule: ribosomal RNA, 497 nt
Filed under: uncultured bacterium
Lineage: Bacteria
Description: partial 16S ribosomal RNA
Rfam family: Bacterial small subunit ribosomal RNA
Source: RNAcentral
GAUGAACGCUGGCGGCGUGCCUAACACAUGCAAGUCGAGCGGGAUUCAUGAGGACGAAACUUCGGUCUAGAAAUCAUGAUGAGAGCGGCGGACGGGUGAGUAACGCGUAGGCAACCUGCCCUUAGCACAGGGAUAGCCUCGGGAAACCGGGAUUAAAACCUGAUAAUGCCAAACAGUCACAUGGCUGUUUGGCCAAAGAUUUAUCGGCUAAGGAUGGGCCUGCGUCUGAUUAGUUAGUUGGUGGGGUAACGGCCUACCAAGACGACGAUCAGUAGCCGACCUGAGAGGGUGAUCGGCCACAUUGGAACUGAGACACGGUCCAAACUCCUACGGGAGGCAGCAGUGGGGAAUAUUGCACAAUGGGCGAAAGCCUGAUGCAGCAACGCCGCGUGAGCGAUGAAGGCCUUUGGGUCGUAAAGCUCUGUCCUAGGGGACGAACAAAAUGACGGUACCCUUGGAGGAAGCCCCGGCUAACUACGUGCCAGCCGCCGCCGUAA